This 77-nucleotide small RNA is filed under the name Klebsiella pneumoniae. Its description in RNAcentral is "partial RtT sRNA". It matches the Rfam family "RtT RNA", at positions 56 to 130 of the family's 130-position model. From Rfam's summary of the family: This family represents a bacterial cis-regulatory element known as RtT RNA. The exact function of RtT is unknown although it is thought that it may be involved in changing the cellular response in relation to amino acid starvation. The record is from RNAcentral. Lineage: Bacteria; Pseudomonadati; Pseudomonadota; Gammaproteobacteria; Enterobacterales; Enterobacteriaceae.
AACGAGAGAACGUUGCCGCAGGCAACGGCCCGAAGGGCGAGGCGCUUUAGCGCCGAGUAAUCCUUCCCCCACCACCA